This 478-nucleotide ribosomal RNA is filed under the name uncultured bacterium. RNAcentral's name for it is "bacterial SSU rRNA". It matches the Rfam family "Bacterial small subunit ribosomal RNA", at positions 34 to 507 of the family's 1533-position model. The record is from RNAcentral.
CGCUGGCGGCAUGCCUUACACAUAGCAAGUCGAACGGCAGGCACGGGGGCAACCUGGUGGCGAGUGGCGAACGGGUGAGUAAUGCAUCGGAACGUGCCAUUGAGUGGGGGUAACGUAGCGAAAGUUACGCUAAUACCGCAUAUUCUGUGAGCAGGAAAGCAGGGGAUCGCAAGACCUUGCGCUCUUUGAGCGGCCGAUGUCAGAUUAGCUAGUUGGUGAGGUAACGGCUUACCAAGGCGACGAUCUGUAGCGGGUCUGAGAGGAUGAUCCGCCACACUGGAACUGAGACACGGUCCAGACUCCUACGGGAGGCAGCAGUGGGGAAUUUUGGACAAUGGGGGCAACCCUGAUCCAGCCAUGCCGCGUGAGUGAAGAAGGCCUUCGGGUUGUAAAGCUCUUUCGGCCGGGAAGAAAUCGCAUGGGUUAAUACCCUGUGUGGAUGACGGUACCGGCAUAAGAAGCACCGGCUAACUACGUG